This 557-nucleotide ribosomal RNA is filed under the name uncultured bacterium. RNAcentral's name for it is "bacterial SSU rRNA". It matches the Rfam family "Bacterial small subunit ribosomal RNA", at positions 102 to 655 of the family's 1533-position model. The record is from RNAcentral.
ACGGGUGAGUAAUACAUCGGAACGUGCCCGAUCGUGGGGGAUAACGGAGCGAAAGCUUUGCUAAUACCGCAUACGAUCUACGGAUGAAAGCAGGGGACCGCAAGGCCUUGCGCGGACGGAGCGGCCGAUGGCAGAUUAGGUAGUUGGUGGGAUAAAAGCUUACCAAGCCGACGAUCUGUAGCUGGUCUGAGAGGACGACCAGCCACACUGGGACUGAGACACGGCCCAGACUCCUACGGGAGGCAGCAGUGGGGAAUUUUGGACAAUGGGCGAAAGCCUGAUCCAGCCAUGCCGCGUGCAGGAUGAAGGCCUUCGGGUUGUAAACUGCUUUUGUACGGAACGAAAAGCCUCUUUCUAAUAAAGAGGGGUCAUGACGGUACCGUAAGAAUAAGCACCGGCUAACUACGUGCCAGCAGCCGCGGUAAUACGUAGGGUGCGAGCGUUAAUCGGAAUUACUGGGCGUAAAGCGUGCGCAGGCGGUGAUGUAAGACAGAUGUGAAAUCCCCGGGCUCAACCUGGGAACUGCAUUUGUGACUGCAUCGCUGGAGUGCGGCAGA